RNAcentral lists this ribosomal RNA (247 nucleotides) under uncultured bacterium. RNAcentral describes it as "partial 16S ribosomal RNA". It matches the Rfam family "Bacterial small subunit ribosomal RNA", at positions 57 to 305 of the family's 1533-position model. The record is from RNAcentral.
GCAAGUCGAACGAGAAAACCACUUCGGUGGCAAGUACAGUGGCGCACGGGUGAGUAACGCGUAGAUAAUCUACCCCAUGGUCUGGGACAACAUCUCGAAAGGGGUGCUAAUACCGGAUAAUACUAUUUGUCUAAUGACAGAGAGUUGAAAGAUUUAUCGCAAUGGGAUGAGUCUGCGUACCAUUAGCUAGUUGGUAGGGUAAUGGCCUACCAAGGCGACGAUGGUUAGUGGGUCUGAGAGGAUGAUC